GGGGAGCGGCGCCGGUCAGGGGCGGAGCCGCAUCGGAGGGGCGGCGGCCCGUGACCGCUCCGGACCUGGCUUGGGGCGGCGCCGGAAGGGGACGGGGGCGCGGCGGCGGAAGGGGUCGGGGGCGCGGUGGCGGAAGGGGUCGGGGGCGGAUCUGAGGGGUGGCGGAGCGGAUCAGUCCCCGGCGGUGGAUCUCAGGGACGGCGGCGGCUGAGGACGUCAGGGCGCGGCGGCGGACGUCACGGGCGC
RNAcentral lists this long non-coding RNA (246 nucleotides) under Setaria italica (foxtail millet). Its description in RNAcentral is "long non-coding RNA (SITA_LNC003479)". Lineage: Eukaryota; Viridiplantae; Streptophyta; Magnoliopsida; Poales; Poaceae. The record is from RNAcentral.